AGCGAAACCACAGCCAAGGGAACGGGCUUGGCAAAAUUAGCGGGGAAAGAAGACCCUGUUGAGCUUGACUCUAGUCCGACUUUGUGAAGAGACAUGAGGGGUGUAGCAUAAGUGGGAGCUUCGCGGCGCAAUUGAAAUACCACUACUUUUAUCGUUUCUUUACUUAUUCAGUGAAGCCGGAGAGCCGGGGCGCAAGCCCCCUGACUUCUGGCUUUAAGCGCCCGACCUUCGCGGCCGGGCGCGAUCCGCUCUGAAGACAGUGUCAGGCGGGGAGUUUGACUGGGGCGGUACAUCUGUCAAAAGGUAACGCAGGUGUCCUAAGGUGAGCUCAGUGAGGACGGAAACCUCACGUAGAGCAAAAGGGCAAAAGCUCACUUGAUUUUGAUUUUCAGUACGAAUACAGACCGUGAAAGCGUGGCCUAUCGAUCCUUUUGACUUUAAGAGUUUUAAGCAAGAGGUGUCAGAAAAGUUACCACAGGGAUAACUGGCUUGGGCAGCC
This 499-nucleotide ribosomal RNA is filed under the name Phyllodoce sp. AMEBU14763. RNAcentral's name for it is "eukaryotic LSU rRNA". It matches the Rfam family "Eukaryotic large subunit ribosomal RNA", at positions 2358 to 2845 of the family's 3401-position model. Lineage: Eukaryota; Metazoa; Annelida; Polychaeta; Phyllodocida; Phyllodocidae. The record is from RNAcentral.